Molecule: ribosomal RNA, 547 nt
Filed under: uncultured bacterium
Lineage: Bacteria
Description: bacterial SSU rRNA
Rfam family: Bacterial small subunit ribosomal RNA
Source: RNAcentral
UAGGGAAUUUUUCACAAUGAGCGAAAGCUUGAUGGAGCAAUGCCGCGUGAACGAUGAAGGUCUUUAAGAUUGUAAAGUUCUUUUAUUUGGGAAGAAUGACUUUAGCAGGUAAUGGCUAGAGUUUGACUGUACCAUUUUGAAUAAGUGACGACUAACUAUGUGCCAGCAGUCGCGGUAAUACAUAGGUCGCAAGCGUUAUCCGGAUUUAUUGGGCGUAAAGCAAGCGCAGGCGGAUUGAAAAGUCUGGUGUUAAAGGCAGCUGCUUAACAGUUGUAUGCAUUGGAAACUAUUAAUCUAGAGUGUGGUAGGGAGUUUUGGAAUUUCAUGUGGAGCGGUGAAAUGCGUAGAUAUGUGAAGGAACACCAGUGGCGAAGGCGAAAACUUAGGCCAUUACUGACGCUUAGGCUUGAAAGUGUGGGGAGCAAAUAGGAUUAGAUACCCUAGUAGUCCACACCGUAAACGAUAGAUACUAGCUGUCGGGGCGAUCCCCUCGGUAGUGAAGUUAACACAUUAAGUAUCUCGCCUGGGUAGUACAUUCGCAAGAAUG